Molecule: transfer RNA, 83 nt
Filed under: Fonsecaea pedrosoi CBS 271.37
Lineage: Eukaryota; Fungi; Ascomycota; Eurotiomycetes; Chaetothyriales; Herpotrichiellaceae
Description: tRNA-Leu (TAA) (tRNA-Leu-TAA-1-1)
Rfam family: tRNA
About the family: Transfer RNA (tRNA) molecules are approximately 80 nucleotides in length. Their secondary structure includes four short double-helical elements and three loops (D, anti-codon, and T loops).
Source: RNAcentral
GGGAGGUUGGCCGAGUGGGUUAAGGCGGCAGAUUUAAGUUUUGUCUCAUAAUAUGAGUUCAGGUUCGAACCCCACACCUCUCA